CGUGUCUCCUGUGUCAGCUCCAAGCACCUUUGUUGUGACCCAUGCUCACCGGUGACAGCUUUCCAGUGACUAACGGAAAGGGGGCCUCCCCAGCCUGUUGCAGUGGGCUCUGGACCAUGUAAUGCACUAAGCGGUCACUGCAUUGGAAGACCUGAGGAGCAAAACCCCAGGGGGAUCUCCAGGCUUCAGUUGCUCUCCCAGUGCCUCUCUGGUCUUCCCUAACCCUUCUAUUUCAUUUCCUGUGACUGCAGAGUCACUGAAGGAAUCCAGGAAUCCGGGAACUGGCAGUCCCUGUCAGUCACCCUGAUUGGCCAUCAGUUUCAUUAUGCCUGGUGUUUAUUUUAUACUGGCAGGAUUACUUUCUUUGUUUGUUUGUUUGUUUGUUUAAUCUUUUCCCUCUUCUCCCAGGCCUCCAUUUAAUUCCCAGGGGUGCCACGAAUAACUUGAAUCCCCAGUGGGGUCCAAGUGCCCCCGGACUUCCUUGUGAUACUUCCUCCCAGGUGCUGGCCUGAGACCUGGCGUGGUGGAUCUGUUCCUUAGUCUGCUGGUCUGGCGGUUAAUCUGUGUGUGGUGACGGACUGGGCAAAGCCAGGGACCACGGAGGCCGGCAAGGAUCAUCCCAGUGGACACUGGAGGAAAAACACCUGGAGGGAAACUGACCCCAAAUCCCUAGAAGUGAAUUUAGUCUGUGACUGCUUCCUGUUUUUCACCUUUUGAGUUUAUGAUUUUCUGCUCCCUUCUUCUUUCUAUGCGUAUAAAAUUCAUAGAUUGUAAUUAGAGGGUAAAGAUAGUUACUUUUGUCUUAAAGAUGCUUUCUCUGUUGAUCUUACUGAAAUGCUGGUUUGGACUAACUCUAAGAGGGGAAGAAAUUUUCCCGGGGUUCCCUUGAGGCAUAAGUGACACCUGGGGAAACCCAGGCUGCAUCAGGGCAGGCAGCAGACUGACCCUGGUGCCUCAGUUUCCUCCAGGGUACACGAAUCAUCAGGCUUUCUCCAGAGCCCUGUCAUCCACCUGCCAACACAUCUCUUUCUGCCCCAUUGCUUUUCUUAGGGGAAGAAUUCGCAUAUACUGCAAAGCACAAUGCAUGCAACCAGGUAGACUUUCUGAGGUUCCUUCUGGAAACUUCAGACCUGGUUUUGGGACCUUCUGCCACGAGGUGGAGGCCGUGAGAGGUCACAGGGCCACUUUCCAGGCUUUUCCUAUGAGAGACUUCAUUUAGGAAGGAUGCUUCUUUGGAUUUUUGCUCAUUUUGAUUAUUCUCCCCCCCCCCCGCCCCAUUUCCUAGAAAUCUGAUGAAGUGACUCAGCCUUUUGCUAAGGAAAGGGAUCAUUACUAGGUGUGUGCACCCCUGUGGUCCCAGUGCUCUGGGAACUUGGGUCAGGGGGUUCCAAGGUAGGAGUCCAGGCCGAGCCCCUUGGUGAGAGCCUGCCUCAAAAAGUAAUAAACCCGGGGGGUGUGCGUGGCUUCCCGCCAGGAUCUGGGAGGCAUCCCCAGCACACACAAAAAGGCAUUUGCCGAAAUUCAAAACUUUUCUAAGGCUGUUUUGAAGGAAUAUAUUUCUAAUUGUAAAAGCCAGGUGUGGUGGUGCCUGCAGCCCCAGCCAGCAUUUUAGGAGCCAGAGGGAGGCAGGAGGGUCAGGAGUUCAUGAACUGUGGUUUAGCAAGAUCUGCCUCAAAAUGAAAAUUAAGAAGAGGCCAGGGGGAGUCCCUGAAUCCCCUGGACCAACAACAACAGCAAGAAAAAAACGUUACUUUAAAGGGAUUUUCUAAGGUAACAGUUUAAUGCAGCAAUACAAAACCAAAACCCAAUCCUCUAUGCUUAAUACACCAAAGUUUUCUUAAAAUAUUGAUAAGGUGGUGUACCACAUAUGGUGUCCCAGGACAGUAACCCCAGCUCUCAAGAAGCUGAGGCAGGAGGAUCAACACAAGUUCAAGGCCAACAUGGGCUACAUAGUGAGUUCGAAGCCAGCAUGAAACUAUGUAUUGAGAACCUGUCUCAAAUAAUAUACAAAGUGUUGUGCUGGCUUAGAAAACAAAGAUUUUGUGUUUGUCAGAUACACUGAAGGAAGUGUAUCUCAGUAGAGCUAGAUAGAUCUAAAGUGUCUAUUUGCUGUAAAGUCUUUUUACAUCAUCAGUUUAUGACACUCUCAUCCCUGGUUGCAGUGAAUCUGGCACCUGUAUAUGUGACCAACUGUGAGAUUACCUCUGAGGACUAAAUAUGCCGUGUGCCCUAGCUUUGUCUAAAUGUAUGCAAAGGUUUGUAAAAUUGAAGGCACAUAGGUUGAAUGCAUGUCAGAUAACAAAUACAUGUUGUCUUUUGUGCACUGUGCAUCACUUCUGCUUAUGAAAGCUGUGACCAGAAAACUUUGGGCACCUGUGUCCUUUGCACUCAGUACUGAGUGGGAAAAAGCCCCCAAUUCGCUGCCCUUGUCCAUCAGGUACCCAGGCACCUGUGGCCAUUAGCACUGUCUCCUCAGCGUGGAGGUGCUCCAUAAGUCUCCUUUGAUUCUGUCAGCAUUGUUACCUUGACAUUCACCGCAAAGUUAAAAGCUGGGUUGGUGUGGGCAGGACUUCUGUGCAGCCGUGAUGCUAAAUGUUGCUGGUUCUUUGUGUGUCACAUGUAUCUGCUCCCGUGUUCCGUCUUCUACAGUGCACAGCUCUGGGGAGCAGCUCACCAUGCUGAGCCUUCUGACUUGGUCACUGGUAAUGACAGGCAUGUGCAGGUGUGUGUGCGUGUGCUCCUGGUUCUACUGUGACAGCCCUCUUUGGGCGACAAUACUCACACAGGCCCACGCACAGUGCAUUCCAAGCAGUGCCACUCUGCGACUGAAAAAGUUAAAGUACAUCUGUGAGGAGCACUGUCCGCUUUAUCUAACACAUUCCGUGAUUCCCGGUCAGCAUGCAGCUUCAUGACAGAGCACUUGCCAAGCACACACAGGCCUUAGACUCAGCAGCCGGCACUGCCAAAGAAAACCCAUCAUUGCUGAGAGACAAAAUUUCAUGCAGAUUUAUGUGGCUAAGGUUUUGUGAUUGGCCAGGUGUUGUGGUGCAUGCCUCUAAUCCCAGAAUUGGGGAUUCUGAGGCAGAGGGUUAUCAGGAGUUUGAGGCCAGCAGGAACUAGGCCCUGUCUCAAAAAAAAAUUGUAAUUAUAUAAAGUGACAUUGUUUAUAAAUUACAUCUUGUUAAUGUUGUCACACUGCAUAGUAAAACAGGAAGUCAAAUAUGUUUUUUGAAGUGUAUGGUCCUGAUAUCAUGCUGUCAGUCGCAUCUACUAACCCUAAAAUGCCAUUGGGAAAUGGGUCAUUUUGUUGUUUGCUAAACUCUCCUCGGAGUUUUAACUGUAGCUCAUCUGAGCCUUUUGUCAUCCCUGAUUUUGACUGUUCUCUGAAGCAUUUGUGAACAGGUUCCUCAAAGGGAAUCUAGCAAGUACUGUGAACAGCUUUCUGGCAAAAAUAAACUUAUUUUUUAGAGGAACGCACGCUGCCCUCGGACCUUGGCUCAUGCUGCCAUGCACUUCCUGUGUUACUUCUGCUGGCCCUGUAGGACACAGCGCCACCCUCGGACCUUGCAUCUGUACCACUGGCUUCCUAUGCAACUUCCUUUCACCUGGAGGGACACUGCGCCAAUGGCCGCUGCCUUCGGUGACCCUCCCAUUCUCCUAGACCAAGUACUUGAUCUUUGGCUCCCAUUCCUCCUCCCAGAAACUUGCACUGCAGUGGAUUACUGUGGUGAGUUGAAGGGAGACUCAGUGACCUCUCACCCAAACCGAGGACCUCAGCAGGAUCCAAUCACUAUGCUCCUGUACUUCUGGCAUUCAUCCUACAACUUCAACAACCAGUUCGAAUUACAGCUUCACUAAGUAGAAUGGGACCAAAUAGAUGAAACCACUGAGAAAAAAAUCAUCAAAGUGAUACAAGACUUCAAAAUAAGAUAGCACCCUGCAGACACACAGACUGAUGCUACCAGCCCGUCCCUCCGCCCAGGACCGCAUAUGCCGCUGCACCGUGCUUCCCAAGUGUAUGGUGGAUGCUUGAACCCAGGACACCUGCUGGCCCACUGGGGAUACUCCCUACCUCCUGGACUUAAUACUGCUAUUGAUCUUCAACUCCCACCCUUUCUCCCAGAAACUUGGGAUACAACAGAUUAACUGUGCUAGCUUGAUGGGAGAUUUAGUAACUGCCUCUCUCAAACAAAGGAUCUCAGCAGGCUCCAGUCGGUGUGGUGUGUAUGGCCCUAAAUCUUACCUGUACAGUGGGUAAACAGGGCCGGUAGUAAAGCUCCCUGCCGCUAACUGUCAGACCUUGGUGAGUCUGGUAAGAGUGUGAGUGACCCCUUCUGGCACACAGAGAACAUCAGGCAGCAUGAGGAGUGUGCCAAUAAGGAUCCCCCCAACUUGGAGAAAAUCAAAAGGGCUUGUGAGUCACACAGGCACACAGUAGGGACACAAUAGGGCAGGGAGAUUUGGUGACCUGGAAUAACCUGAAGAUAAGGUAAUAGUAGGAAGUAGAAGUUGACCUACAUCAAUACUACUAGGUUUGUCAGCCCAGGAAGAAUAUAGGACUCACCCAAAAGGCCCUGCAGGGCGAAUCCAGGCAACUGGCUCACCUCUUCAUUGUGGGACCCAGAAAUUGGACAAGCAUCAACCUUACAGUAGGACCCCAAGAUACACACUAUCAACAGUUGACACUAGUGGAACUGAAGGACCAAAUGUUAACUUGAAAGGGGAAAAUGGCAAAAUGAAAAAGCAAAAUGCAACCUCAAAAUCUAGUCCACCGGGAGCAAGUACAGGAGACACUGAAAUAGAGGACUUCAAAGUAACACUGGAAAUCUCUGAAAAGAUAGCAAGUGAAAUAAAACAACUCCAUGAGGCUAUACAGGAAAUCAAAUUAGAAGCAAUCUCUCAUGCAAAGACAGAAAUAACAACCUUAGUAAAGGAGUUGCUCAGCACGCUUAAGGAAGAAGUACAGGAGCAUGGGAAACUGAUUUAAAACUUGAAUGAACAAUAUAGAAAACAAGCAGAGUCCAUGAAAGAAACUCAAAGAGACAGCCAAGAAACAAAAAAUUCUAUUCAAAGCUGGCAAAACCAUUUAAAUGGAGCUGAGGAUAGGAUUUUGGACCUUGAGGACAGGAUUACAAUUAGUGAUCUUGAAAUGAUAGAACUUUUAGAAAUAACAGCAGCAUGAAAUGACAAUCCAGCAGCUUCAAGAUGGUGCCAUGAGAAACAAUACAAGAUUAAUAGGCAUCAGUGAAGAUGCAGAAGUCAAUGCAAAUGACAUAACUAACAUAUUCACAGAAGUAAUACUAGAAAAUUUCCCAAACAUGGGGAAAAAGUCUGAUAUGCAAAUAAGUGAGGCAUAUAGAAUGCCAAACAGUCACAACCAACAUAAAUUUAUACCCAUACAUAUAAUAAUUAAGAUCCCAGACAUGCAGCAUAAAAACUGUUAGAGAAUACUAACAGCUGUUGGAGAAAAGACAACAACUCACCUAUCAAGGAAAGCCCAUUAGAAUCACAGCAGACUUUUCAGCAAGUCAAGGGUGGAGUGAGGUGUUUCAAGCCCUGAAAGAAAACAGCUUUCAACUCAGACUGAUGUAUCCAGAAAAACUUUCAUUCAUACUUAAUGGAGAAACAAGCUACUUCCAUGACAAAGAACAGCUGAAGAAAUUCAUAUCCACCAAAUCAACCCUAGAAAGAAUAUUGAAAGAGAUACUAGGUAGAGAGAAAUAUGACCACAAUCUCAUGAAUAACAACAAAAAGAAAUCACCAGUUCAGACAAGCAAUUAAACAAAGGGGAAAAGCAGAAAGCAAACAACUGUAACACAACAUAGCAAAGUCAAAUCAGUACAUAUCAGUGAUAUCCAUAAAUGUAAAUGACCUCAAUUCACCUAUCAAAAGAAAUAGGUUGACAGAAAGGAUCAAGAAAAAUGAUCCCACAGUAUGCUGUGUGCAAGAAAACACCUGACCCAAAAGGAAACUCAUAGAUUAAAAGUCAAAGGAUGGAAAACAGUAUUCCAUGCAACAGGAGCUCAGAAAAAAGCAGGGGUAACUAUUCUCUUUGCAGACAAUGUGAACUUCAAACCUAAAAUGAUUAAAAGAGAUUUAAAAGGUCACUACGUACUUGUUAGUGGAAAAAUUCAAGAGGAAGAACUAACAAGUAUAAAUGUAUAUGCACUAAAUACUGCAGCACCCAACUAUAUAAGACAAAUACUAAUGGACAUGAAAAACCCAAUACACAAGAACACAAUUAUAAGGGAAACUUACACCACAUUGUCACAAAGAGAGAGAUCAACUAGACAAAAAGUCAGCAAAGAAAUAAUAGAACUGAAUCAUACCUGUGAGCAAUUGAACUUAAUAGAUGUUUACAGAGUGUUCCACCCAACCACAUCAGAAUACACAUUCUUCUCAGCUGCACAUGAGACAUUCUCCAAAAGAGACCAUAUAGUAUCUCAUAAAACAUUCUUAAGUAAAUGCAAAGGUAUUGAAAUUAUCCCUUGCAUAAUAUUUGAUCAUAGUGCACUAGAAUUGGAAAUUAAUGGCAAAAUAAAUUGCAAAAUCUGCAUAAAUACAUGGAAAUUAAAUAACCUUCUAAACAAAAAGUGGGCUACAAUUAAGAAAUAAUACCUACAAUUCAAUGAAAAUGAGGACACAACAUACUGUAAUGUGUGGGAUGAAAUGAAAGCAGUGUUAAGAGGGAAAUAUAUAACACUUAAUUGUCAUAUCAAGAAAACAGAACAAGCACAAAUAACAUAAUGCUUCAUCUCAAGCUUCUAGGAAAAGAAGAGCAAAUGAAACCCAAAGCUCAUAGAAGAGAGGAAAUUGUAAAGAUUAGAGCAGAAAUCAAUGCACUUGAAACUAAAAAGAAAUACAAAGAAUUAAUGUAUCACAAACCUGGGUUUUGAGAGAAUAAACAAAAUUGACAAGCCUCUAGCUAACCUUAUCAAGAAAAAGAAAGAAAAACCCAAAUUCAUGCAAUUAGGAUUGAAAAGAGGGAAAUUAUUCCAGAUCCUAUGGAAAUUCUAAAGAUCAUGAAUACUUAACUUUGAAUAUCUCUACUCACAUAAGAGUGGAAAACACAGAGGAAAUGGUCAGCUUUCUAUAAACAUAUGAACUACCAAAGCUCAACCAAGAAGAUAUAACAAUCUUCAAUAACCCAAUAUCAGCUACUGAAAUUGAAAACACAAAUAAAAACACACUAACAAACAAAAGCCCAGGUCCUGAUGGAUUCAUAGCUGAAUUCUACAAAUAAUGUAGAGAAGAUUUGAUGUCAAUACUACUUAAACUCUUUUUUUUUUUGUACCAGGGCUUAAACUCAUGACCUUGUGUUUGCCAGGCUAGCACUUAGGCCAUUGAGCUAAAUCUCUGGCCCUUAAACUCUUCAAUGAAAUUGAAAAGCAAGCAAUCCUCCCUAAGUCAUUCCUGGAGGCAAGUAUUACUCUGACACCAAAACCAGAGAAAGACCCAACCAAAAAGAAAUAUAUGCCAAUCUCACUAAUGAACAUUGAUGCAAAGACUGUCAAUAAAAUGCUGGCAAAUAGAAUGCAACAAAUCAUCAAGAAGAUUAUACAUCACAACCAAGUGGGAUUCAUUCCAGGAAUGUAAGGAUGGUUUAACAUACACAAAUCAAUAAAUGUGAAACACCACAUCAACAGAGCCGAAAACAAAAACCACAUGGUCAUCUCAAUAGAUGCAGAAAAAGCUGUCAAUAAAGUCCAACACAUGUUCAUCAUAAAAACCUUCAGAAAUUCAGAAUACAUGGUGUCUACCUCAAUCUUUAUAAAGGCCAUCUAUGACAAACAGCGAACAUUAUACUAAAUGGACAAAUAGUGAAAGCUUUCAUUAAAAUCAGGAACAAGACAAGGAUGUCCACUAUCACCACUCCUAUUAAGUAUAGUUUCAGAAAUACUAGCCAGGGCAGUAAGACAAGAGAGAGAAAUAAAAGAAAUAAAGAUAGGAAAGGAAGAAGUUAAAUUAUCACUAUUUGCAGAUGACAUGAUACUCCCAAAAGAUAUGAUACCCAUGAUACCCAAAAGACUCCAUUAAAAGAUUACUAGAGGUAAUAAACAAAUUUAGCAGUGUAGCUGGAUACAAAGUCAAUGCUCAAAAAUCAACAGCAUCUCUUUAAAAUUAAAAAAAAAAGCAUUCCCGUACACAAACAAAAACUCACCGACACAGAAAUUAUGGAAAUAUCGCCCUUCACAGUACCAUCUAAAAAGAUGAAAUACUUAGGAAUCAACCUAAGAAAGAAUGUAAAAGACCUAUAUGCUGAAGAUUAUGCUAUGCUAAAAGAGGAGACUGAAGAGGAUAUUAGAAAAUGGAAGGAUAUUCCUUGCUCUUGGCUAGGAAGAACCUAUAUGGUGAAAAUGGCAAUACUCCCAAAACUGUUACACAGAUUCAAUGCAAUCCCAAUCAAAAUAGCAUUAACAUACCUCCCAGCUCUAGAGAAAACACUCCUAAAAUUCAUUUGGAAACAGACUAGAAUAGCAAAGGCAAUUCUGGACAACAAAGGCAAGAUAGGAGGCAUCUCAGUUGCUGACUUAAAACUAUAUUACAAGGUCACAGUGACAAAAUCAGCAUGGUACUGGCAAAGAAGUAGACUUGAGGAUCAGUGGAACAGAUUAGAGGAUGCAAGCACAACUACAAAGACCCUCAGCCUCCUGAUAUUUGACAAAGGAGCUAAACGUGUUCACUGGAAGAAGGAUAGCCUCUUUAAUAAUAAAUAGUUUUGGCAAAAUUGGCUCUCCACAUGCUGAAGACUGAAACUAGAUCCAUGCCUAUCACCAUGCACAAAACUAAAGUCUGAAAGGAUCAAAGACCUAAAUAUUAGACAGAAAUGCUAAGUCUACUGGAAGACAAGGUAGGUAGCCUUGGAGACAUGGGAUAGGCAGAGAACUCAUGAACAAAACACAAACUGCACAGGAAACACUUCAAAGAAUCAACAACUGGGAUCUUACAUUGUUGAAAAUUUUUUGCACUUCCAAAGAAAUCACCAACAGAAUGAAAAAAAAACCCACAGAAUGGUAAAGAAUUUUAGCCAGCAACCCCUCAGAAAAAAAACUUAUAGCUAGAACAUACAAAGAACUGAAAAACAUCAAGCCCCCCAUAUUCAAAUACCUGCUCCAAAAAUGGGUAUCUGAGAUGAACACACAGUUCUCAGAUGAAGAUACACAAAUGGCAAAUAAAUACAUGACGUGUUCAUCACUGGUCAUUCAAGAAAUGCAAAUUAAAACAGCAUUGAGAUUUCAUCUCACUCUAGAGAGAAUAGCUGCCAUCAAGAAAUCAACUGAUAACAAAUGUUGGCGAGGCUGCGGGGGGAAAAGGAACACUGCUCCACUAUUGGUGGGAAUGUAGACUGGUGCAGCCACUCUGGAAAUCACUAUGGACAUGUCUCAGGAGACUUGGAUUGGAAGCUCCAUUCAGUCCAGCUCUUUCCCCUCCUGGGAAUUUUCCCAAAAAAACUGAAAAGGUCCUGUCACGGUAAUAUAUGUGCACCCAUGUUCAUAGCAGCACAAUUUGUAAUAGCUAACUCUUGGAAACAACCAAAAUGCUCAUCAACUGCAGAGUGGAUGAAAAAGAUGUGUUAUUUUUUAUACAAUGGAAUAUUACUCAGCUAUAAAGAGGAUAGUCUUGAAGCCUUCAUAGGUAAAUGGAGACAACUUGAGACUAUCCUCAUAAGUGAAAUAUAUAAUCAUAUUUAUAAACGUCACAUUGUGUCUCUAGUGUAAAAAGAAAUAAGAACUGUAGCAGUAAUAAACCCAAAAUAUGUAAUUGCUAUUGUAACAAAGGAAAAGAAAGUGCUCUAAAGGAUAUAACUGCAUGUAUAAGUAUAUAGGAUUAACAACCAUGUUACUAGGUUUUUGUUGGAUAGUUGAACAGAACUGUUUGCAGUCUCGCUGUUUGAAUGUUCACUUUGUAUGCUUUAGUUUUGUAACUUGAAUGACUAUUUCUAAGAGGACAAUAUGUAAUUUAUCAACUGGUGAUUUUUUACUGUUUUUUUUAAAUUAUGUAGUAUUUCUACCCUUUUUUCUGUUUUGAUUUUUUCUUUAAAUAAAAUUUUUAAAAAGCAA
Long non-coding RNA from Cavia porcellus (domestic guinea pig), 10061 nucleotides. RefSeq lists it as uncharacterized. The record is from RefSeq and is a predicted model, not a curated record. Lineage: Eukaryota; Metazoa; Chordata; Mammalia; Rodentia; Caviidae. The transcript has 2 exons.